AUGGAAGAGCUGGGCCCUCCGCGCGUGAAGUUCUUUCACUGGCUCGCUAACCUGGGACGCUGCUGGACAGCCGACCGCCUUGCCCACCGUGGACUGCCGCACCCUGCCCACUGCCCACUUUGUGAUCAAGCGCCCGAAUCGCUCCAUCACCUGUUCCUGGCAUGCCCCUUCUCCAAGCUGGUAUGGCACGAAAUCCUUUCCUGGCUGCGCCUUACGUGCAACGCGCCAGAUGGCGAGGACUCCCUGACCAGAUGGUGGCGCACAGCACGACAGACCACGCCCAAGCCGAUGCAAAAAGGCCUCUCCACCGCGACGCUGCUGAUCCCUUGGAUGACCUGGAAGCAUCGCAACGAAUGCGUCUUCGACGCAGCAACCCCAUCGCCAAACACUCUGAUCGAGGAUCAAGGACGAAGCUGUGCUUUGGGCGAGCGCAGGCGCACGAGGACUGCGUGA
RNAcentral lists this ribosomal RNA (453 nucleotides) under Triticum aestivum (bread wheat). RNAcentral describes it as "partial small subunit ribosomal RNA". Lineage: Eukaryota; Viridiplantae; Streptophyta; Magnoliopsida; Poales; Poaceae. The record is from RNAcentral.